Molecule: ribosomal RNA, 519 nt
Filed under: uncultured bacterium
Lineage: Bacteria
Description: bacterial SSU rRNA
Rfam family: Bacterial small subunit ribosomal RNA
Source: RNAcentral
AGAGUUUGAUCCUGGCUCAGGAUGAACGCUAGCGGCAAGCUUAACACAUGCAAGUCGAACGGUAACUUUUAGUGCUUGCACUGAAAGACGAGUGGCGGACGGGUGCGUAACGUGUAUGCAAUCUACCUUUUACUAGGGUAUAGCCCAGAGAAAUUUGGAUUAAUCCCCUAUAAUAUCAUGAAAUCGCAUGGUUUUAUGAUUAAAGCUUCGGCGGUAGAAGAUGAGCAUGCAUCCUAUUAGUUUGUAGGUGAGGUAACGGCUCACCUAGACUACGAUAGGUAGGGGCCCUGAGAGGGGGAUCCCCCACACUGGUACUGAGACACGGACCAGACUCCUACGGGAGGCAGCAGUGAGGAAUAUUGGACAAUGGACGAAAGUCUGAUCCAGCUAUGCCGCGUGCAGGAUGACAGCCCUACGGGUUGUAAACUGCUUUUAUACAGGAAGAAAAACCCCGACGUGUCGGGGCUUGACGGUACUGUAAGAAUAAGGAUCGGCUAACUCCGUGCCAGCCGCCGCGGU